AGUGAACGCUGGCGGUAGGCCUAACACAUGCAAGUCGAACGGCAGCACAGUAAGAGCUUGCUCUUACGGGUGGCGAGUGGCGGACGGGUGAGGAAUACAUCGGAAUCUACUUUUUCGUGGGGGAGAACGUAGGGAAACUUACGCUAAUACCGCAUACGACCUACGGGUGAAAGCAGGGGAUCUUCGGACCUUGCGCGAUUGAAUGAGGCGAUGUCGGAUUAGCUAGUUGGCGGGGUAAAGGCCCACCAAGGCGACGAUCUGUAGCUGGUCUGAGAGGAUGAUCAGCCACACUGGAACUGAGACACGGUCCAGACUCCUACGGGAGGCAGCAGUGGGGAAUAUUGGACAAUGGGCGCAAGCCUGAUCCAGCCAUGCCGCGUGGGUGAAGAAGGCCUUCGGGUUGUAAAGCCCUUUUGUUGGGAAAGAAAAGCAGCAAGUUAAUACCCCGCUGUUCUGACGGUACCAAAAGAAUAAGCACCGGCUAACUUCGUG
This 492-nucleotide ribosomal RNA is filed under the name uncultured bacterium. RNAcentral's name for it is "partial 16S ribosomal RNA". It matches the Rfam family "Bacterial small subunit ribosomal RNA", at positions 29 to 507 of the family's 1533-position model. The record is from RNAcentral.